GGUACAGGCUUGCACCAAACAGGAGAGGUGGAAACUCGUGUCCCAACUAACCUGGGUCCACCACCUUCAGCAGACAGGGUCCUGGCUUUGCUGAGCUUUACCUCCAAAAUUUGCUGGCCGGACAACCUGUCACAGAAGAAGCAGUACUGACACCAUCAGAGUGCACUUCCCCACCCAUGUGCGCUGCUCUGGAAUAGAAACCCAUCAGGGCCUGGGCUAGCCUUGCCAAGUGGAUUACAUGUUCCAGAAUAAUUUUUAUGAUACAAUAAUGCUGGGUUCCUGACCGUGUGUUUCCCAUCUGAGUUACCCCAGGGAAGAAUCUGGGAUGCAGCUUGUCCAUGAUGACAGCCUCUGCCCUGCCAGGUGGCCGACGAAGCAAAGAGAGCAUCUGUUUUCUUCCACGUGUAUGUGCCAAAAUAUCGGGUGGUUUUUCAUUGUCGUCUCAAGGGAAUAUGAAAGGGAAAAAAGAAAAAUCAGUGUUCCUCCUCUUGGUCACUGAGGGACUGGAGUGGAAGGUGCAGCAGGAAGGGGGUUAGCUCCUGGAAUAUGCUGGUGGUCUCUGUGCUGCAGUGCUGUGAGUGAGGUUACCAGCUCAUCCCCUUUCCCUGCCUUGACUGACUGGUCCAAAGGAUUUUUUAUUUUUUAAUUUUUGUGUAGGCAAGUCGACUGAAAAGGAAAGGGUAAGGAAAGGGCAUAGAAAGGGAACUGAGCUGGAGAGAAAGAUGAGGGGGGAAUGUGGCUGCUGAAAGAACUCGCAGGAGAGAUUCUGCUGCAAGUUGUUUGACAGUGAGGAGGGAAAGCUUAUUGCAUGCAGUGUUCUUGCUACCUGGAAAGCCUUUGGGUUUAGUAAUUGGAGGCUCUUGAUUUGUUUUCUCAGCAUGGGCAGGCAACCCUGUGACACGUAAAUUCUCUCCCAAAACACAGGCUUUCAGCUCCCACACUAGCUGUUGUUACUGAAGCCCACUGUCAUAACACCACGCAAUGCUGGCAUGUGGGAGAGCAGCCCCCAGCCUCUCUCUGUGCUCUUCAUCUUGGAGAAUUUAGGAACAAAGCAACUGACACGGAGAGAAAAGACUUGCGGUAUGUCUGUAGUGUGAUUGGCAUUUCUUUUUGUGAAAUCUCAGGAGGUGAAAGUCAUAUUAAAUGUGAGUGACACAACUGAAAUACAAAAUAAGCCAGAAAUAUUUCACAGAGAUGCCAGAUUUUUCUAAAUUUUUUUUUUUUUUUUUGUAAGAUACCUUUUCUAUAGGAGAUUAAAUAUUUAUUUUCUGGUCUUCAGGAUAAUAAAUUCUUUAUUUUUUUUUUUUUCUUAAGUGUACUGCUUUACAAUGAGUAUUUGCACGCAGAUAGCUCACAAAUUAUUCCUAGGAAUCAAAACAAUUACAGAGCUUUCAUAUAUUCCAACAAAGGAACCUCCUGUUGGGGUGAUUCCCUCUGCCUCCCCCCCCUUCUUUUAGUCUGCGACGGCUGAGCCUGUUCAAGGUUUUAUAGGGUAGUGAAUGGUAUCACCUAGAAACAGACAAUUGAUAAGAGGUUGCCUGGGAAACCCUGUGCUCAUAGAUUUUCAUUUUGCUGCAUUAUGCACCUGUAGGUGCAAUUAUUCAUAAUUAAAAAAAGUCCUCCCGUGGAACUG
Anas platyrhynchos (mallard) is the source of this 1633-nucleotide non-coding RNA. NCBI's taxonomy places the organism in Eukaryota, Metazoa, Chordata, Aves, Anseriformes, Anatidae. The record is from RefSeq and is a predicted model, not a curated record.